RNAcentral lists this ribosomal RNA (466 nucleotides) under uncultured bacterium. RNAcentral describes it as "bacterial SSU rRNA". It matches the Rfam family "Bacterial small subunit ribosomal RNA", at positions 330 to 793 of the family's 1533-position model. The record is from RNAcentral.
CUAUCACUCCUACGGGAGGCAGCAGUGAGGAAUAUUGGUCAAUGGGCGCAAGCCUGAACCAGCCAUGCCGCGUGCAGGAUGACGGUCCUAUGGAUUGUAAACUGCUUUUGUACGGGAAGAAACACUCCUUCGUGAAGGAGCUUGACGGUACCGUAAGAAUAAGGAUCGGCUAACUCCGUGCCAGCAGCCGCGGUAAUACGUAGGGUGCGAGCGUUAUCCGGAAUUAUUGGGCGUAAAGAGCUCGUAGGCGGUUUGUCGCGUCUGUCGUGAAAGUCCGGGGCUUAACCCCGGAUCUGCGGUGGGUACGGGCAGACUAGAGUGCAGUAGGGGAGACUGGAAUUCCUGGUGUAGCGGUGGAAUGCGCAGAUAUCAGGAGGAACACCGAUGGCGAAGGCAGGUCUCUGGGCUGUAACUGACGCUGAGGAGCGAAAGCAUGGGGAGCGAACAGGAUUAGAUACCCUGGUAG